RNAcentral lists this ribosomal RNA (465 nucleotides) under uncultured Klebsiella sp. Its description in RNAcentral is "bacterial SSU rRNA". It matches the Rfam family "Bacterial small subunit ribosomal RNA", at positions 338 to 795 of the family's 1533-position model. Lineage: Bacteria; Pseudomonadati; Pseudomonadota; Gammaproteobacteria; Enterobacterales; Enterobacteriaceae. The record is from RNAcentral.
CCUACGGGAGGUAGCAGUGGGGAAUAUUGCACAAUGGGCGCAAGCCUGAUGCAGCCAUGCCGCGUGUGUGAAGAAGGCCUUCGGGUUGUAAAGCACUUUCAGCGGGGAGGAAGGCGGUGAGGUUAAUAACCUCAUCGAUUGACGUUACCCGCAGAAGAAGCACCGGCUAACUCCGUGCCAGCAGCCGCGGUAAUACGGAGGGUGCAAGCGUUAAUCGGAAUUACUGGGCGUAAAGCGCACGCAGGCGGUCUGUCAAGUCGGAUGUGAAAUCCCCGGGCUCAACCUGGGAACUGCAUUCGAAACUGGCAGGCUAGAGUCUUGUAGAGGGGGGUAGAAUUCCAGGUGUAGCGGUGAAAUGCGUAGAGAUCUGGAGGAAUACCGGUGGCGAGGGCGGCCCCCUGGACAAAGACUGACGCUCAGGUGCGAAAGCGUGGGGAGCAAACAGGAUUAGAUACCCCUGUAGUC